Molecule: ribosomal RNA, 529 nt
Filed under: uncultured bacterium
Lineage: Bacteria
Description: bacterial SSU rRNA
Rfam family: Bacterial small subunit ribosomal RNA
Source: RNAcentral
AGCGAACGCUGGCGGCGUGCUUAACACAUGCAAGUCGAACGGAGCUUUCUGUAGCAAUACAGGAAGUCACGUGGCGGACGGGUGCGUAACACGUGGGCAACCUGCCCGGGAAUGGGGAAUAACCCGCCGAAAGGCGGGCUAAUACCGCAUAACAUCCUAGUUGCUUCGGCGAUAGGGAUCAAAGCCCGCAAGGGCGUUACCGGAGGGGCCCGCGCCCGAUUAGCUAGUUGGUAGGGUAACGGCCUACCAAGGCUUAGAUCGGUAGCCGGUCUGAGAGGACGAUCCGCCACACUGGAACUGAGACACGGUCCAGACUCCUACGGGAGGCAGCAGUGGGGAAUCUUGCGCAAUGGGCGAAAGCCUGACGCAGCGACGCCGCGUGAGGGAUGAAGCUUCUCGGAGUGUAAACCUCUUUCGACCCGGACGAAUGCCCGCAAGGGCUUGACGGUACGGGGAGAAGAAGCCCCGGCUAACUACGUGCCAGCAGCCGCGGUAAAACGUAGGGGGCCAGCGUUGCUCGGAAUUACGU